GACAGAGGGGGCAAGCGUUGCUCGGAAUCACUGGGCGUAAAGGGCGCGUAGGCGGGAUGGCAAGUCGGUCGUGAAAUCCCUGGGCUCAACUCAGGGGGGUCGGCCGAUACUGCCAUUCUUGAGGGAUGCAGAGGAGACUGGAAUUCCCGGUGUAGCGGUGAAAUGUGUAGAGAUCCGGAAGAACACCGGUGGCGAAGGCGACCUGCUGGGACAUGGCUGACGCUGAGGCGCGACAGCGUGGGGAGCGAACAGG
RNAcentral lists this ribosomal RNA (253 nucleotides) under uncultured bacterium. RNAcentral describes it as "partial 16S ribosomal RNA". It matches the Rfam family "Bacterial small subunit ribosomal RNA", at positions 524 to 776 of the family's 1533-position model. The record is from RNAcentral.